GAGCUAGCAAGUCUGAUGUCCUUCUGUUCCCUAUUCUAGGUCUGGGCUUGAUGUUCACCGAUUUUCCCUCAGCUCCGACUGUGGCUCCUCUCAGCAGACUCUGAUCCUGCUCUCAGCCGGGCUGCAUCUGCCCAUCUCAGCACGUCAAUAAACAACAGAGGCAAACUACCACCUUGGAGGGAGCCAGGCAGUUUCUGCUGGGCAGGCCGCAGCCGGGAGCAUGGAAGUAGCUUCUUCCAUCCUCCACUGGAAACCACCCAGCAUCCUGGACCCUCCAGAGAGGAGCCAGACUCCCUCCCCUGGGAAGAGACUAUAGUCCUAUCUGUAUCCUCCGUGGUCACUGCCCCUCAGUCCCAGCAAUGAAGAGCAAAUGACCUGUUUUCUGUAUGUUUCUCUGAUAACAACUGACACAGAGUAAAUAUGAAAGGUUCUGGA
Long non-coding RNA from Piliocolobus tephrosceles (Ugandan red Colobus), 435 nucleotides. RefSeq lists it as uncharacterized. NCBI's taxonomy places the organism in Eukaryota, Metazoa, Chordata, Mammalia, Primates, Cercopithecidae. The transcript is spliced from 2 exons. The record is from RefSeq and is a predicted model, not a curated record.